UUCCCAUGAAGGAAUCGGCGUCAUGAUAUUCGCAAGCAGCAGUUUAUGGCAUCCGUACAAGUCAAUACUUAGGUAGUUAGGAAAAUUCGUUCCAUUGUAUUUAAUAAGUAUUUCAGAGAGUAGUGCAAAACUUUCCAAUGACGUGCAUUCACGAGCUUCAACUUUUGAUAUACUCAAUGGAAGAGGUAAAAUUUCUUCAAGUUUCUUGCAAUUGUUCAAAUAAAGGUUGUCACCUUGGUAAUUUCAUUGAAAAUUACCAAUUCGCCCUUGAGGAGGAACCAUCACU
Molecule: long non-coding RNA, 286 nt
Organism: Juglans microcarpa x Juglans regia
Lineage: Eukaryota; Viridiplantae; Streptophyta; Magnoliopsida; Fagales; Juglandaceae
Exons: 2
Source: RefSeq, a predicted model, not a curated record